RNAcentral lists this transfer RNA (93 nucleotides) under Staphylococcus muscae. RNAcentral's name for it is "tRNA-Stop". It matches the Rfam family "tRNA". From Rfam's summary of the family: Transfer RNA (tRNA) molecules are approximately 80 nucleotides in length. Their secondary structure includes four short double-helical elements and three loops (D, anti-codon, and T loops). Lineage: Bacteria; Bacillati; Bacillota; Bacilli; Caryophanales; Staphylococcaceae. The record is from RNAcentral.
UGGAGGGAUACCCAAGUCUGGCUUAAGGGGACUAAAUUUUAUAUUUAGUUAGGAGCUUUAUGCUUGCGUUGGUUCGAAUCCUUCUCCCUCCGU